This 396-nucleotide ribosomal RNA is filed under the name uncultured bacterium. RNAcentral's name for it is "bacterial SSU rRNA". It matches the Rfam family "Bacterial small subunit ribosomal RNA", at positions 361 to 771 of the family's 1533-position model. The record is from RNAcentral.
AUUUUCCGCAAUGGGCGAAAGCCUGACGGAGCAACGCCGCGUGGGUGAUGAAGUUUUUCGGAACGUAAAGCCCUUUCAGCAGGGACGAAGUAAGUGACGGUACCUGCAGAAGAAGCAUCGGCUAACUACGUGCCAGCAGCCGCGGUAAUACGUAGGACGCGAGCGUUAUCCGGAUUUACUGGGCGUAAAGCGCGGGCAGGCGGUGGUCCAAGUCGGACGUGAAAGCUCCCGGCUCAACUGGGAGAGGUCGUUCGAAACUGGGCCGCUAGAGGGCAGUAGAGGGGCGUGGAAUUCCGGGUGGAGUGGUGAAAUGCGUAGAGAUCCGGAGGAACACCAGAGGCGAAGGCGGCGCCCUGGGCUGCACCUGACGCUGAGCCGCGAAAGCUAGGGGAGCGA